GUCGAGAAUUUUUCACAAUGGGCGCAAGCCUGAUGGAGCGACGCCGCGUGGGGGAUGAAGGGCUUCGGUCCGUAAACCCCUGUCAUUUGCGAACAAACCUUGUCCGUGAACAACGGACGAGCUGAUGGUAGCGAAAGAGGAAGGGACGGCUAACUCUGUGCCAGCAGCCGCGGUAAUACAGAGGUCCCGAGCGUUGUUCGGAUUCACUGGGCGUAAAGGGUGCGUAGGUGGUGAGGUAAGUCGGAUGUGAAAGCUCGGAGCUCAACUCCGAAAUGGCAUUGGAAACUACCUUGCUUGAGGAUUGGAGGGGGGACUGGAAUUCUCGGUGUAGCAGUGAAAUGCGUAGAGAUCGAGAGGAACACCAGUGGCGAAGGCGAGUCCCUGGACAAUACCUGACGCUGAGGCACGAAAGCUAGGGGAGCAAACAGGAUUAGAAACCCCAGUAGUCC
This 449-nucleotide ribosomal RNA is filed under the name uncultured bacterium. RNAcentral describes it as "bacterial SSU rRNA". It matches the Rfam family "Bacterial small subunit ribosomal RNA", at positions 354 to 796 of the family's 1533-position model. The record is from RNAcentral.